Molecule: transfer RNA, 68 nt
Filed under: Marmota monax (woodchuck)
Lineage: Eukaryota; Metazoa; Chordata; Mammalia; Rodentia; Sciuridae
Description: tRNA.Ala
Source: RNAcentral
GGAUUGUAGCUCAGUGGUAGAACACUUGCCUAGCAUGUGUGAGGCACUGGGUUCAAUUCUCAGCACCA